This 389-nucleotide ribosomal RNA is filed under the name uncultured bacterium. RNAcentral's name for it is "bacterial SSU rRNA". It matches the Rfam family "Bacterial small subunit ribosomal RNA", at positions 29 to 418 of the family's 1533-position model. The record is from RNAcentral.
AUUAAACGCUGGCGGCAUGCCUUACACAUGCAAGUCGAACGGCAGCACGGGGGCAACCCUGGUGGCGAGUGGCGGACGGGUGAGUAAUGCAUCGGAACGUAUCCUGGAGUGGGGGGAUAACGUAGCGAAAGUUACGCUAAUACCGCAUAUUCUGUGAGCAGGAAAGCAGGGGAUCGCAAGACCUUGCGCUCUGGGAGCGGCCGAUGUCGGAUUAGCUAGUUGGUGGGGUAAAGGCCUACCAAGGCGACGAUCCGUAGCGGGUCUGAGAGGAUGAUCCGCCACACUGGGACUGAGACACGGCCCAGACUCCUACGGGAGGCAGCAGUGGGGAAUUUUGGACAAUGGGCGGAAGCCUGAUCCAGCCAUGCCGCGUGAGUGAAGAAGGCCUC